RNAcentral lists this non-coding RNA (28 nucleotides) under Rattus norvegicus (Norway rat). Lineage: Eukaryota; Metazoa; Chordata; Mammalia; Rodentia; Muridae. The record is from RNAcentral.
UGGCUUAUACCAGGGUGAUGACUGAGGU